UUGCACGCUGGCGGAAUGCUUUACACCUGCAAGUCGCACGGCAGCACGGGGGCAGCCCUGGUGGCGAGUGGCGAACGGGUGAGUAAUACAUCGGAACGUGCCCGGUCGUGGGGGAUAACGUAGCGAAAGUUACGCUAAUACCGCAUACGAUCUGAGGAUGAAAGCGGGGGACCUUCGGGCCUCGCGCGAUCGGAGCGGCCGAUGUCAGAUUAGGUAGUUGGUGGGGUAAAGGCCUACCAAGCCGACGAUCUGUAGCUGGUCUGAGAGGACGACCAGCCACACUGGGACUGAGACACGGCCCAGACUCCUACGGGAGGCAGCAGUGGGGAAUUUUGGACAAUGGGCGCAAGCCUGAUCCAGCCAUUCCGCGUGCAGGACGAAGGCCUUCGGGUUGUAAACUGCUUUUGUACGGAACGAAAAGGCUCUGGCUAAUACCUGGGGCUCAUGACGGUACCGUAAGAAUAAGCACCGGCUAACUACGUG
RNAcentral lists this ribosomal RNA (483 nucleotides) under uncultured bacterium. RNAcentral describes it as "partial 16S ribosomal RNA". It matches the Rfam family "Bacterial small subunit ribosomal RNA", at positions 30 to 507 of the family's 1533-position model. The record is from RNAcentral.